Molecule: ribosomal RNA, 453 nt
Filed under: Triticum aestivum (bread wheat)
Lineage: Eukaryota; Viridiplantae; Streptophyta; Magnoliopsida; Poales; Poaceae
Description: partial small subunit ribosomal RNA
Source: RNAcentral
AUGUCCAUAGAAGAGUACUAUGGAGCUUUCACUCGCAUCACUGGGCAGCUAGGUUCCAUGGUUCCAAAGGGUAAUUCUGGUUGUGAGUCAUGUGCAGCGAAGGAAAAGUACGACCAUCAGACUCUCAUGUUUCAGUUUGUGAUGGGUCUCAAGCCAGACUUUGAGAACAUUCGCAUUCAAUUUCUUGGUCGUACGACUCCUCCCACCUUGACAGAGGCACUUGCUAGCUUGAUCGCCGAGGAGACUCGUCUCCGUUCUCUUGGGACUACUUCUGCGCAGACUCUACACAGUAGUGUUCUGGCUUUUCCUCGGCGGCCAGGUGCCUCCAAGGCCACACCUUCAGCUGUCGUCUGCUCGUUCUUCAAGAAGGGAGGACACCAUAGAGAUGGUUGUUUCAAGCUUCAUCCAGAGCUGUUAGCUGAGUUUCAGGCUAGACGGGCCCUCAAUCAGUAG